GAUGAAGAACGUAGCGAAAUGCGAUAAGUAAUGUGAAUUGCAGAAUUCAGUGAAUCAUCGAAUCUUUGAACGCACAUUGCGCCCGCCAGUAUUCUGGCGGGCAUGCCUGUUCGAGCGUCAUUACAACCCUCAGGCCCCCGGGCCUGGCGUUGGGGAUCGGCGGAAGCCCCCUGUGGGCACACGCCGUCCCUCAAAUACAGUGGCGGUCCCGCCGCAGCUUCCAUUGCGUAGUAGCUAACACCUCGCAACUGGAGAGCGGCGCGGCCAUGCCGUAAAACACCCAACUUCUGAAUGUUGACCUCGAAUCAGGUAGGAAUACCCGCUGAACUUAAGCAUAUCAAUAAGCGGAUGA
RNAcentral lists this unclassified non-coding RNA (352 nucleotides) under soil metagenome. Its description in RNAcentral is "partial contains 5.8S ribosomal RNA, internal transcribed spacer 2, and large subunit ribosomal RNA". The stretch from base 1 to 120 matches the Rfam family "5.8S ribosomal RNA", at positions 35 to 154 of the family's 154-position model. The record is from RNAcentral.